This 442-nucleotide ribosomal RNA is filed under the name uncultured bacterium. Its description in RNAcentral is "partial 16S ribosomal RNA". It matches the Rfam family "Bacterial small subunit ribosomal RNA", at positions 338 to 795 of the family's 1533-position model. The record is from RNAcentral.
CCUACGGGUGGCAGCAGUGGGGAAUAUUGGGCAAUGGACGCAAGUCUGACCCAGCAACGCCGCGUGAAGGAAGAAGGCUUUCGGGUUGUAAACUUCUUUUAAGGGGGGAGAGUAGAAGACGGUACCUGACGAAUAAGCCACGGCUAACUACGUGCCAGCAGCCGCGGUAAUACGUAGGUGGCAAGCGUUGUCCGGAUUUACUGGGUGUAAAGGGCGUGUAGCCGGGUUGACAAGUCAGAUGUGAAAUCCUGCGGCUUAACCGCAGAACUGCAUUUGAAACUGUGGAUCUUGAGUACUGGAGAGGCAGACGGAAUUCCUAGGGUAGCGGUGAAAUGCGGAGAUAGUAGGAGGAACACCAGUGGCGAAGGCGGGCUGCUGGACAGCAACUGACGGUGAGGCGCGAAAGCGUGGGGAGCAAACAGGAUUAGAUAACCUAGUAGUC